RNAcentral lists this ribosomal RNA (1288 nucleotides) under Mycetocola sp. RNAcentral's name for it is "bacterial SSU rRNA". It matches the Rfam family "Bacterial small subunit ribosomal RNA", at positions 54 to 1353 of the family's 1533-position model. The record is from RNAcentral. Lineage: Bacteria; Bacillati; Actinomycetota; Actinomycetes; Micrococcales; Microbacteriaceae.
CAUGCAGUCGAACGGUGAAGCCAAGCUUGCUUGGUGGAUCAGUGGCGAACGGGUGAGUAACACGUGAGCAACCUGCCCUGGACUCUGGGAUAAGCGCUGGAAACGGCGUCUAAUACUGGAUAUGAGACGUGAUCGCAUGGUCGUGUUUGGAAAGAUUUUUCGGUCUGGGAUGGGCUCGCGGCCUAUCAGCUUGUUGGUGAGGUAAUGGCUCACCAAGGCGUCGACGGGUAGCCGGCCUGAGAGGGUGACCGGCCACACUGGGACUGAGACACGGCCCAGACUCCUACGGGAGGCAGCAGUGGGGAAUAUUGCACAAUGGGCGGAAGCCUGAUGCAGCAACGCCGCGUGAGGGAUGACGGCCUUCGGGUUGUAAACCUCUUUUAGCAGGGAAGAAGCGUAAGUGACGGUACCUGCAGAAAAAGCGCCGGCUAACUACGUGCCAGCAGCCGCGGUAAUACGUAGGGCGCAAGCGUUAUCCGGAAUUAUUGGGCGUAAAGAGCUCGUAGGCGGUUUGUCGCGUCUGCUGUGAAAUCCCGAGGCUCAACCUCGGGCCUGCAGUGGGUACGGGCAGACUAGAGUGCGGUAGGGGAGAUUGGAAUUCCUGGUGUAGCGGUGGAAUGCGCAGAUAUCAGGAGGAACACCGAUGGCGAAGGCAGAUCUCUGGGCCGUAACUGACGCUGAGGAGCGAAAGGGUGGGGAGCAAACAGGCUUAGAUACCCUGGUAGUCCACCCCGUAAACGUUGGGAACUAGUUGUGGGGACCAUUCCACGGUUUCCGUGACGCAGCUAACGCAUUAAGUUCCCCGCCUGGGGAGUACGGCCGCAAGGCUAAAACUCAAAGGAAUUGACGGGGACCCGCACAAGCGGCGGAGCAUGCGGAUUAAUUCGAUGCAACGCGAAGAACCUUACCAAGGCUUGACAUAUACGAGAACGGGCCAGAAAUGGUCAACUCUUUGGACACUCGUAAACAGGUGGUGCAUGGUUGUCGUCAGCUCGUGUCGUGAGAUGUUGGGUUAAGUCCCGCAACGAGCGCAACCCUCGUUCUAUGUUGCCAGCACGUAAUGGUGGGAACUCAUGGGAUACUGCCGGGGUCAACUCGGAGGAAGGUGGGGAUGACGUCAAAUCAUCAUGCCCCUUAUGUCUUGGGCUUCACGCAUGCUACAAUGGCCGGUACAAAGGGCUGCGAUACCGUGAGGUGGAGCGAAUCCCAAAAAGCCGGUCCCAGUUCGGAUUGAGGUCUGCACACUCGACCUCAUGAACGUCGGAGUCGCUAGUAAUCGCAGAUCAGC